Long non-coding RNA from Hypanus sabinus (Atlantic stingray), 6298 nucleotides. RefSeq lists it as uncharacterized. The record is from RefSeq and is a predicted model, not a curated record. The transcript has 4 exons. Lineage: Eukaryota; Metazoa; Chordata; Chondrichthyes; Myliobatiformes; Dasyatidae.
GUUGAGGUAGCAGGUACUGCAGCAGCAACAGAGUAUGAUCAUUAUUCGCUGACAUGAUAUAAAUUAUAAAGCCUAGUGGGAUUCUGUAGUUACCUGAUUUAUGUCGUCAGAACAGAUGGGACUCUGAGUUAAGGAAGGGUCAACAAUAACGAGCGUCUGCUUCACUUCACUGAUAUUGCACUGAAUUAAAUGGAACUGUUUGUCGCUGUCCUGUAAGAUUUGUUGUUGGGUGGAAAUACUGUGGUUCCAGAAAUAUUAUCGGAUUCGUCAACAUCAGGAUCAUCUACAACUUGUCUUCUUUGAUUACAUUGACAUCAAACUGCCUAAAGUGACGCUGCUUGCAGGCAAGAUAAAGGAGGGAAUUCCAUAGGGUCAACAGCAGCCAAUUCUAACCAAGUCGAAUUGCCACCGCUCGCAUCCGCCACUGAUUUUUUUACACUUGUAUGACGAGCCAUCAACUCCACUGAUUGGAACAUUGUUUCUUGAUGGAAGCUCCUUUGGGAAUACAAUCCUUUUCAUAUGGAAAGUUGAGACCAGCAGGGAUUGUCUCCAUGGUGAAUAUAUUUGCUCACUUUUUAAUUGAUGCAUAUGAUGAUAUUUAUUCACAGAAGAUUAAUGGUAUGAUCUGUUAGGUUGUAAAGAAGUCAAUUUGCUAGCAAAUUGUAGUGGUUAGCGCAAUGGGGGCAUCGGAGUUCAGAGUUCAGUUCUGCUGUGGUCUGUAAGGAGUUUGUACGUUCUCUCCGUGACCACGUGGGUUUCCUCCGGGUGCUCCGGUUUCCUCCCACAGUCCAAAGACGUACCAGUUAGUAGGUUAUUUGGUCAUUGUAAAUUGUCCUGUGAAUAGGCUAGGGCCAAAUAGGUGGGUCGCUAAACUGGAAGGGUACGUAUGUAUCUCUAAAAAUAAAAAUAAAAGAGAUUAUAAAACUUCUUUGGUGCAAUCAAAGUGUUCAGUUGUUUGCCUAUGUGCUUGGCUGGGAUUUUUCCCAUAUAAAUGAAACUAGAAACGCAUUUAUCUAUUACGUUUAUCUAGUAAAAGAAUAUCCGGCUACAUUCUAUGAAGUAUGGCCAAUAAUCCACUUACUCAGCAAGAUGUUCAUAUUACGAGGUGUGAUUGAACUCUCUGCUAAAUCCAGGGAUAAAGCAAAUUCAGUUCCAACUGCCUGGCCUGAAAGAUUGCAAGUAAUUAAUGACUAGUAUUAAGUGGGAGUGAUUAUAACCUUCAUAAAGACUCAGCUCCUUACUGUACUCUGCCCUCAAUGACAAUGUGGCCAAAUUCUGCUCCAACCCCAUUUACAAGUUUGCAAGUAACACCACCAUAGUGGGCUGGAUUCCAAACAAUGACUCAGAAUACGAAGAGAAAGAUUCACUUUAUUUGCCACAUGUACAUUGAAGCAUACAGUGAAAUGCAACGUUUACGUCAAACCAAAUCAGCAAGGAUUUCCUGCUUUCAGAGCAAACAGCAUGCCCACAACCUACUAACCCGAACUGUACUUCUUCGGAAUGUGGAGGGAACUGCGCGGUCACGGAGGGAAAGUACAAACUCCUUACAGUAGUAGCGGGAAUUGAACCCUGAUCUUACAGGUGGCUCUGUAAAGCAUACACACUGCACUACCGUGACAAGCCCAAGGAGAAGGAGCAGGAGGUCCUAAAAUAAGGAGAUGGAGAGCUUAGAGGCAUGUUGUCAAGACAACAACCUUUCUCUCAAUGUCAGCAAAAAAAAGAGAGCUUGUUAUAGACUUCAGUAAGUGAGUGGAGGACACACGCCUGUCUGUAUCAAUGGUGAUGAAAUUGAGAUGGCUGGUAACUUUGAGCUUCAAGGUAUAAAUAUCAUCAAAAAUUUAUCUUGGUCCAACUGCAUUAACACCAUGGCAAAGAAAGCAUACUAAUGCCUCUACUUCCUCAGAAGGUGAGGGGAAUUUGGCAUUUUCAAGGGAGGAUGAGGCAACUGGGACAGGUUAGGGCAAUAUGCAAAGAAUUGACCGAUGGAAUGCAGUUCAGAGUAGAAGGAAUAAAGGCACAGGUUAUUUUUCUAAACAGGGAGCAAAUUCAGAAAUUUGAGAUGCAAAUGGACUUCGGAGUCUCAGGAUUCCCUAAUGGUUAACUCUUGUAGGUUGAAUUGGUGGUAAGGAAAGCAAAUGCAAAAAUAUUGAAGUGCAGCAGGCUAGCCACACUAGAGCGUCAAAGAGACAAUCUUUUAAUGUGAAAACUAAACCCAAACAACACUGAUGAAUCACUUCAUCUUCGUUGUUUUGAUCUGCUUUCCUGUGAAUGAUCCACACUUGGCAGUGAUCAAGUUUAUAGUAAAUCAUUUUCGUGAGAGAUGUAGCCUUAUGGGGACUGGUGGAGUGAACUGAAAGUAAAUAUGUGAGAUUAACUUCCUACAUCUUUUUUUGUAUGGAAACAUACAAACACUCAAAGUUAUAUUGUGCUCUACGCACACCAGGCAAUCAAGUUUAUACCUCAGUUCAACGUAGUAAGCCACUAACGAACAUUAGGAAUGCAACUGUUUCUUGGCUUGUCAUCAGUUGAAAAGGAGAAGGUAUUAAAAAGCAGUCAAGUUUACAGUUGUACAAAGAUUUUGGAAUUCCAUGGAUGUUUCCAAAUGAUAAAAUUAUGUAAGUAAUUGUGCUAUACUUUCAAAGUUUUUCUUUAAGUCUAACUAAUAAUUAUCUGUUAAUUGGAAUUUUUAUUUUGGUAAUAGAACACAGAAACAGCCCUUUGGCCCAUCCAGCCCAUGUUGAACCAUUGAUCUGCCUAGCCCCAUCAACCUCCACCCGGACCAUAGCCCUCCGUACCCCUCCUAUCCAUGUACCUAUCCAAAUUUCUCGUAAAUGUUGAAGUUGGACCUGCAUCCAUUGCUUGAGCUGGCAGUUCAUUCUAAGGAUGAUGUCAUUCUGCUUUAAAUGAACUAGCAGUUCUUUUGCCUCUUUGGAAUUUGACGGAGUGAAUCAAUAAUUUCUUCAAUAUAAACCGUACAACUAAGCCAUUUCUAAAACCUGCAGACAAGUCAUCGCAAACUCCAUGUUGUUCACACCGUUCGCAUCAGGAUCCGGAAAAGGAAAUGUAAUUGUGUAUGAUCAUGAAAUAUUCCUAACAUGCCAACGAGGGAGAGGAUGAUAGCCUUUUGUGUGCCUUUUAAAUCCCUUUGUGCGCUAUAGCAAAAGAUGUGUGCAUACAAACAUACUAUCACCUUAGAGGGAACGUUUCCCUAUGUUCCUCUAAAACUUUUUACCUUUCACCCCUAACCUAUGACCUUUUCACCCAACUUCAGUGGAAAAAGUCUGCUCGACUUUACCCUAUUUAUACUCCUCAUCGUUUUGUAUAUGUCUGAAAUCUCCCCUCCAUCAUCUAUGUUCUAGAGAAUGAAGUCUCAGCCUAUUUAACCCUUCCCUUGAACUCAGUUCCUCAAGACCUGGCAAAAUCCUUGUAAGUUUUCUGUGCACUCUUAUAAUCUUAUUGAUAUCCUCCCUGCAGGUAGGUGACCAAAACUGCACACAAUACUGAAAAUCAGGCCUUGCCAAUGUCUUAUACAAUUUCCACUUAACGUCACAACUCCUAUGCAACAGAGACACGGCAUAAGAGAUGUCUACUCCGCUGGAUGUAAGAAGUAAGAUUAAUGCAAGUACAAAUACCAUACAUUGAUUCAUGAAUUCAAUAUGCCAAAAGCUCUCUUUAUGACCCUAUCUACCUGUCAAUCCACAUUCAAGAAAUUAUAGAUCUGUGUUCCCAGAUCUCUCUGUUCUACUACGCUCCUCAGUGCCUUCCUGCUCACCGUAUAAGACCUCCCCUGGUUGUUCUCCUCAAGAUGCAACACCUCACACUUGUCUGCAUUAAAUUCCAUCUGCUAAUUUUCAGCCCACUUUUCCGGCUGGCCCAGAUCCCGCUGCAAGCUUUAGCGGUCUUCUUUGGCGUCAACUCACCCCUAAUCUUGGUGUCAUCUGCAAAUGUGCUGAGCCAGUUUACCACAUUAUCACCUAGAUCUUUGAUAUAGAUGACAAACAACAGUAGACCCAGCACCGAUCCCUGUGGCACACCACCAGUCACAGGCCUCCCGUCAGAGAGGCAACCAUCUUCUCCCGUGGAGCCGAGGUCUAAUUCAAUUUACUACUUCAUCUUGAAAGCCAAGCAACUGAACUUUCUUGACCAACCUCCCAUGGGGGACCAUUUCAAAGACCUUGCUAAGGUCUACUGCCUUGCCUUCAUCAAAUAUCUCGGCAACUUCCUUGAAAAACUAUAAGAUUGGUUAGACACAAUCUACCAUGAACCAAAUCAUGUUGACUAUCCCUAUCUAUCCAAAUACUUGAAUAUCUGAUUCCUUAGAAUACCUUCCAAUAACUUUCCCACUACUAAUGUCAGGCUCACCGGCCUGUAAUUUCCUAGCUAAUUCUCAGAGCCUUUCUUAAACAAUGGAACAACAUGAGCUAUCCUCCGAUCCUCCGGUACCUCACCCCGUGGUGAAGGAUGUUUUAAGUAUCUCUGCUGGAGAGCCUGCAAUUUCUGCACUAGCCUCUCACAAGGUCUGAGGGAAAAUCUUGUUAGGGCCUGGGGAUUUAUCCUCCCGAUGGUUAGCAAUCGUCCUCCUCUGUAAUCUGCACAGUGUCCAUUACCUCACUGCUGAUUUGCCCCACUUCUAUAGACUCUGUGUUCAUCUCCCGAGGAAAUACUGCCGCAAAGAAUCCAUUAAAGGUCUCCCCAUUUGCUUUUGGCUCCACGCGUAGAUUACCCUUCUGAUCUUCCUGAGGACAAGUUUUGUCCCUUGCUAUCGCUUUGCUCCUAAUGUAUCUGCGGAAGCUCUUAGAACGGUCCUCCACCUUGUCUGCUAGAGCAAUCUCAUGUCUUCUUUUAGCCUUUCUCAUUCCCUUCUGAAGUGCUCUCUUGCAUUUCUUAAAUUUCUCGAGUUACUUAUUUGUUCUCACCUGCCUAUACCAGCUGUGAACCUCCUGCUUUUUCUUAACCAGUGCCUCAAUAUCCCUCAAAAAGCAAAGUUCCCUGAACCUGUAAUCCUUGACUUUUAUUCCGACAGGAACAUACGAAAAGUGUACUCUCAAAAUUUCACUUCUGAAGGCUUUCCACCUCCCAAGUACACCUUUGCCAGAAAACAGCCCGUCCCAGAUUGUUUCUUGAUUGAAAACUUGCCAGAUUCUUUCUGAUACCAUCAACAUUGGCCUUUGUGCAGUUUAGAAUCUCAGCCUGAGGACCAGACCUAUCCUUUUCCAUAACUACCUUAAAGCUAAUGGUACUACGUUCACUGGAUGCAACAUAUUCCCCUACGCAAGCAUCUGUCACUUGCCCUGUCUCAUUACCCGAUAGGAGAGCUAAUAUCACCUUUUCUCUGGUUGGACUUCCAUGUACUGAUUAAGAAAACUUUUCUGAAUGCAUUUGUCAAGUUCUUUCCCACCUAGCCUUUUUAUAGUAUGGGAGUUCCAGUCAAUAUGGAAAAAAAUCAAAACCGUAUAGUAUCACAACCUUAUGUUUCUUGCGAUCUCCGUACAGAUUUGCUCCUCUGAAUCCUGCUGACGGUUUGGUGGCCUAUGUAAUAUAAUCCCAUUAGUAUGGUCGCACCUUUCUUAUUCCUCUCUUCUACCCCCUAAGCCUCACUCAACCAGCUCUCCAGUCAGCCCUGUCUGAGCACUGCUGUGACAUUUUUCCUGAAAAUGCCACCUCUUCCACUUUAAUCCCUCGUGCUUUAUCACAUCUAGUACAAUGAAACCCUGGAACACUGAGCUGCCAGUCCUGCCCCUCCUGAAACCAAGUCUCACUAGUGGCUACAAUGGCAUAAUUCCAGGUGCUGAUCCUAGCCCUUAAACUCACCCGCCUUUCCUACAAUACUUCUUGCAUUGAAAUAUAUGCUGCUCAGAACAGUAGACCUACCAUGCUCAUCCUUUCAGUUCCUGACUUUGUAUGUAGGUUUAACACCAUCUUUCUCCACAACCAUUCUAUCUGUUCUGCUGCUCUGGUUUCCAUAGCCCUGCAACUCUUGUUUAACCAACCCCCCCCCCCCCCCACCUCACUAGCAAACCUUCCCUCCAGGAUAUUGGUCCCCUUCCAGUUCGGGUACAAACUGUUUCUUCUGUACAGGUCCCACCUUCCCUGGAAGAGAGCCCAAUCAUCCAAAAAACUGAAGCCCUCCCUCCUACUCCAACUCCUUAGCCACAGUUUAAACUGUAUGAUCUUCCUAGCUCUGGCCUCACUAGCACGUGGCAUGGGUAGCAAUCCCGAGAUCACAGCCCUGGAGAUCCUGUCCUUUAACUUAGCACCUAGCUCCCUGAAUUCACUUUAUGGGACCUCGUCACCUCCC